AUUAGAAGCUGAAGGAAUGGGGUUCUGUGUCCACACAGGGGAUGUAGCAGGCUGAGAGCUCACAGCUGGUUACGGAGCUGAGAUAAGAAUGCAGCAGCCCUAGGCCUCUGAAUUAUUGGGGGCUCAUCUGCAUCAAAUCUGCAUUGAACUCACACAUGCCCUGUUCCUGCUGGACCAAGCAUCCAGGACCCGCUACAGAACAAGCUUCUUCAUCAGGAAAAGAGAGGGUGAUCUGGUGAGAGAUAAGCUUUCAGGUGUGGUAGUUCGAGACCAGGAGGCCCAGAAAUGAAGACGGCAGGGGGGUCUCUUUUCAGCCUAAAAGAGGAUACCUCAGCACAGCAGUGACUUACCCCAGGCCUUGGGGCGCUCAGACCACCAAAGUCCUCCCCUGGAAUGAGCUUGGGAUGGAUUUAACAUCAGGGGCCACUAGGAUGUGGCCUCUCCCCAGGGGCUUAGAAGUCCCGUGGCCCCAGCCUGCCCCGCUCCCUCAUCUUCCCCUCCUCAUACUUCCCAAUCUAGCCCCACCUCAACUGCCGGUGGGUCCUCAUAUACUCCAUGCUUUUUAUACCAUCAUACCUUGCCCAAGCUGUCUUUAGUCUGAAAGCCCCUUCCCCCACCUCUCACCUUCUUUCCAUUACACACUGGGCUUAAGUAUCACCUCCAGUCUUGAUCAGUAGCCUCUCCUGAGCUCCUACAAUCCCCUGAAUGUCCUUCUAGGGCAGAGGUUGGCAAACUUUUUCUGUGAAGGGCCAGAUAGUAGCUAUUUAGGCUUUGAGGGCCAAAUGGUCUCGGUCACACCACUCAAUCCUGCCACUAUGGGGCAGAAGCAGUCAGAGACAUUAGAUAAAUGAGUGAGCAUGGUUAUGUUUCAAUAAAACUUUAUUUACAAAAAACUGGUGACAGGCCAGGCCUGUGGCCUGUAUUUUGAUGACCUCUGCUCUAGAUCAUCACUGAUUGCGAGUCCAACAUGGUUUGCUUUCUUCCCUGUCCCUGCAGCACAGAGACUGUCAAAUUCAGCAAGAAUCCAGCUUGGGGUAGGUCUCAGUGCGGGACACUGAGCUAAAUGCGAGCACAGCCCCCCAGCCUCUGCUCCAUACUUACAGUUCUGGGGCUUGCCUUCUCCCUGGGAAGCCACUCCCAUGGACCACCUUUAUUCAAAUCUACCCACAGGCCCUCUGGGUGCUUCUGGGGCUGCAGGCCUGCUCCCCCUCCUCUGGGGAGCCUGGCAAGGAUUUGGUGAGAGAGACUGUGUCUCUGAAUCUGUUCCAUGUCUGUCCUUCUCAGUGGAAUCUUUGCAGUACAUCUGCAUUCUAAGAUGAGUUUUCUUCACACUUUGCUUAGAAGAAUGCCUCUGUACGUGCAGAACUAGAAGAAACCUGAGGAAUCAGAGUCCACCUUCAGAUGGGUAGAUUGAGGCCCAGAAAGGGAAAGGGGCUGGCUGAGGGAAAUACAGCAUGGCAGGGAUAAGAACAGCUCUCCUGCCUCUCAGCCCAGGGCUCUGGAGAGGCCCUCCCUGUUUCCUGCACUGAGAGGUCAUCGUCAAUGAUAGAUGCGAAUACCACCUAUUGGUAAAUCAUAGUCCAUAAUCAUCUUAAAGUAAGUACCAAUAUGAACCACAGCACCUGGGGAAUUUCCUAAUGUGAACACCAGUGGUUUUCCCCCCACAAGAAGCUCAGCAUCCAAAAAAAGAAACGUAUAUCCUAGUUUUCUCUUUUUCUCGUUCUAACACUCACUAGGUGCUUCCUCUGUGCCAGUCUCUGCCAGGUGUUUUUACCCAAGAAACCUCAUGGCAGGGGGCCUGCUAUGUACUCAUUUGACAUAUGAGGAAAUCCAGACCCAGAGAUGUUAAGUUACAUGUCCAAGGUCACAGCUGGGGGGAGCAGGGUCACAGUCUGAACCCACAGUCAGAUGCCUGCUCAUCUCCACCACGGCUCCCCAGUCAAACAUUCAGCAGUACCAAAUGUGGAAGAAAAACCUUACAGCAGGUGGGAAAGCCCUGUGCAAGCUUCAGUUCCACAUUCAAUGAACCUUGCUUCUGUUCUACGUUCUGCACUGAGAACACAGAAUCAGCCCAGCCCAGUCUCUGGGAAUUAAGAGCAAGUAGGCAAGUCUGGCAAGGAUGUGUGGUCAGACAGUGCCCAAAACAGCAGGGCAGGCUUGAAGAAGGUGAUGAUGGGGCUCUGUUGCUGGGCACAGGACAACCAGAUACCCCCCAAAAACCCUGCCCUCCCUGGGAUUCUGAAAGCCUGGGGGUGAUCUUGUCCUCCUCCAUGUGCCAAGCCCUGGCAGGCACUGGGCAAGGAGGCCAGAGCAGCCAAAAACACCACUGCUGUCCCAAAGGGCAGCUUUGAGGUCAGCCCCGCCCAGGAAAUGGCAGCUGCAGGGAGAGUGGUGUUUUUGGCAACAGAUUCGGUGGUGUUUUUGGGAACAGAUUUGUUCACUGGCUGGACCAGCUUGGAGAUUUUCCACUCUGGCUCUGGCCUGGCACCUUUCACCCAAUAUCCCAGUGACUCCUCACAGCUAUCUUGGUAGCUGUUGUUAUUAAUCCCAUUGUACAGAAGAGGAAAUUAAGGCUUAGAGGUAAGGGUGUUAGGUGGCAGAAGUGUGAUUUCAACUGUGUGUGGCAGCUGCCAAAGCUUGAUCUCUUUCCACUCAGACCCUCAGCCACCUCAGUGUUACCAGGCUAAGAAUGAGGACCCCAGAGAGUCCUCAAAUGUACUGAAACAUCUCUCAGGUCUCCUGGAAUGUGCCCAGAAGUGUGCAGCAGAAUAAACCCAGGCCUGGGACGGCUUUUGCUCUGCUAAUGGACAGCACUUUCAGGGUGGGGACUAGACUAAAGCACGCUGGAGGGCCCCAUUGGAAGUGUGACCAUAUGGAAGGAUCUGGAGUCAGAGUGGAGACUGACUCCUGGCAUAGCCACCUCGGGGUGAACCUGGGCAAGUGGGGAUGUGGCUUUCCCAUGCAGCUUUGUCACAAGGACAAAAGGCAAAAAGACUCUUCUGGGGGAUCCUGGUGAACACCCAGUGUCAGGCCGUUCAGUGCAAUGAGCCCAAUAGUCCCUCGUGAAGAGACCAUAUCAGCCCUGCCAUGAGAUGAGGGCUGUGCCGCCAUUCUAAGGCUGUCAGAGAAAGCCAUGCCAGACCCCUACUCUGCUGGCCUUGGCUCUGGUUCCCAGGGUGAUUCCCCAGCUGGGCUCAAGGCCAUGGCUCCCUGUUUCCAGGGAUUUAUGUCCCCCCAUGCCAGUCUGCCCCUUGGACAAUGCCCACCUCUGUGAGUCCCUCAGCCCAGGAGUGAUACAUAGUCAACCAGGGUCUGCGACAUCAUAAUCUGGUGCCAUGGCAACAGAUGGGCUGCCACAAAGGACUAGGGGAUUCUAGGGGCAGUGAGGAGGGGCUGACCCCAGGGUAGAGUAGGGGAGAGUGGGAAAUCCAGGACAAAGGAAGUGGGAAAUGCUAUUUAUAACAAGAACACGGGCCAAGGAAAGUGCCAGACAGUCCAUGGUCUAUCAAACUGCGCCCUGCCACUUGUAGGCUAUGUGACCUUACACAAGUUACAGGACUCCUGUGAGCCGCACUUUCUUCGUCUGCUUCACGGGACACACAGGGUCAUUGUGAGAAGCAAAUAAGCUAAGGAUGGCCCCAGGGCUUUAUGAACUGAGAAGCAAAAAGGUGCAAGUUAGAGGUGUGUGAAGUCACAGCCCUGGCCCCAGCUGCCGUGUGUGUAACACUGGGCCCAUCCGUCAAACCUUCUGAGCUUGCCUCCUCCUCAUCAGGAAAUGGAGGUGUGGCGCUGACUAAGUCUUAAGGCCCUCUCCACACUCAGUGUCUGUGAUCCUGUGAAACUGUUAGAAUCACUCAGCACUUCUUGGCUUCCCCCGCCUCCAGAGACAUCCUUCCCUGAGACAGUAUACAUCCUUCCCAUGCUGCUCCCCACCCACACGCAUCGUGGAGCCCCGGUGCAGAGAGAAGGCUCCAAAAUAAAGAUUAGUCCGGGCUGCCCAGGGGCACUGCUCUGUGCAGCUUCCUCUUGGCAAUCCGAAUGUCCUGCCGUGUUGGACUCCAGGGUCUUGAGGCCCCCUACGUGGGUCUCCCAUGUUACAUGCCUGGAAGCCAAGGCCUAGUGAGAAGUGACUGCUCAAAGCCACAGCACAUGUCUGUGGGAGGGCUGCACUUGAACCCAGGUAAUGACUCCCAAUCCCACUUUGUAGCCAGCAAGCCAGGCGAGGGCCACCUGACCUGGCCCAGGGGUCAGGGAAGGCUUCCCAGAGGAGGGGCACUGUGUUCAAGGAAGAGGAGUCAGCCAAGCUGUGGGAGUGAAGAGAGCAGGGAAGAGCAUUCCAGGAGGAAGGAUAAUGGGGCUUAGGGGCAUGGAGGAGCGAGCAGAGUGACCAUUAGGGGCUGGGGACAAGGCAAGUGGCAAGGGACCUGGAGCUCCACCAGGCCAGGGAACAAUUGACCCUGGUGGAGUUGUUCACCAAGUUGUGCACAAAGCUGCCCUGCAGAGGCCCAGCACAGGGGCCUGGCUUUCCUUGAGCUUGCCCAGGGACCCAUCCAGCCUCUUGCUAAACACAGGGCUGCUCUCCAGCAGCCAAAAAAACCCAGGGCUCCAGGCUGCCAGAGCUUCCUUUGGGAUUUCGUGAGGCCAUGCAAGACAGAAAAUCGGCCCUUAGCAGAGGAGGGGAGGGGUAGGGGGCAGGACAGAGCCCAGGGGUGGCCAUGCACCAGGAUAUUUGGGAUAGACACUUAUUAUUUUCCCCCUUGGAGAUGCAUGAUGCCCACGGUUUAUAAAGGCCCUGGGAAGGACUGCAGUAAAGAUAUCUGAUUGACGGUUUCCUCCAGCCUUCCAAGCUUGUUUAACCAAGGAACUCCUUUUUCAGAUGCCACAUCUGUUUAUUUCCCAAGAAACAAGUGGUCCAAUGAACCACACCUAGGAAAACACUGCUGGGGCACAAGCCUCUCAUCCUACAGAUGAUUAGAUGAGGUGCAGAGAAGGGAGGGACUAGCCCGUGUUGACACAGCAGCCUGGUAGUUGUACUUAGCCGUCUGUCUCUGGGCCAGCCCCACUAGGCCAUAAAAAAUAGAACAAAGUGUUCACAGAGCAUGGAGCCCAGAGUGAAGCUGCAGGGACCCCACUGGAGACCCCAAUCCUCAGAGCAGGGACACGUCUAGAGAAAGGCCCUGGAAAGAACAGAGAGAAUUGAUACCCAGCCACCUAGGACAGGGAGAUGAGGGAGCUGUCAGCCUUACAGGCUCUGACUGAUCUCUGGUUUCUGUGGACAGGUCUUGGGCUCUAGAGAAUGUUCUCUGAAGGCAGAGCAGCGACCCCUAAGAAAGGUGGAUUCCAGCUCAACAUUGUUGUUCAGCAAGCUGGGGCAGGUUCUUUCCCCUCCUAGGGCAGUUGAGAGGCUGAGAGCAAAGGUAAAGCCCCUAACUUGGAGAGCUGGGUGCACAGAAGGGACUUGGAUGUUCCCACUUCCUCUCCCAGGCCUGGGCCAGCACAGGGUGGCCUGGCUCUGGCCCUAAGGCAGUUGGGCCACUUGUACCCGGGUCGGGGAGAUGAAAGGGCUGCUCCCACCAACAGUUACCCUUCGACAGAGCUCGCCAUGCCCCAGCGUUGCCAAGACGACCGCUUCCAGCAGAAUGCAGAUCCGGGGUGGGGGCAGGGGGCGUGCCAGCCCGCCCCUGGCCUACUAACCUGGCAGGCAGAUUUAAAUGACAGUCCAGGAAGCUACUAUUAAACUGUCACCCCAGUCAACAGGAUGACAGACCCAGAGUGUUCUCUGGCUGCAGCAACGACAGAGCAGUAAUGAGAGGGGGAGGAGACCGUGGCCCAGAGCAACCUGCACCCCACCCGGGGGCCCUGGCCUGACGGCCGUCCCACUACCAGAGCCACCCUCUCAGGCUGUGGCGGGUCCUGGCAUGGAGCUGGGGCUCAGCACAGGGCCUGGAAAACUAUUUUUAAGCAGAGGAACCCUUUUCCCAAGUGAACCCCCAACAUAUAAGACAGAUUAAAAUGGAGCUGCACGGUUGGAAGUGGUGGUGGGGGUGAUGCCCAGAGCCCAUCGCCAGCAGAUCUGGGGUCCAGCAGCACUGGAUUCAAAUCCUCCAUCGCCAGCAGAUCUGGGGUCCAGCAGCAAUGGAUUCAAAUCCUAACCCCUCCCUGGACAUGUGAUGUUCCUAAAGCCCUCAGUUUAAAGAUCCCGUGGGUCCAUUAUAACAUUGCAAACAGCUUCCACAUGGCUCUGCUUCUGACACUCUAGGGACCUACGGUUCUAAGGCUGUAACACUCUGAUUUGCACCCUAAGCCCCUGUGACAAGACUCCAUGACAGCUACCGCCAGAGUCGGAGAUGUCGAUAAGCUGCGGAUGGCAGCCUCUGAUGCCUUCCCUGAAAGGAACUGUUUAUCUGAGUCCAGAAGUCCACAUGCGGACAGUCUCUGACUACUCAAGGCUCGGCGGUUCCCAGAAGGCGAACGGUUCCCACAGUGUCCUGACAGUAGGGUGCAGGAGCCAGCACCCGCGUGUGGUGGGCGGGACUCGGUGCGUGGCUUUGUACUGCCCAGCGGGCUCUGGGGCUCAAGCCACCAUCAUCCAUCAGCAGGCGACAUCUAAAUUCGCCCUCUCCCCCACCUUCCCAUCCCACCUGGGGAGACUGAGAAGCUGCAGGUGCUGAGGAGGAGGGAGACACACGAAGGGCUCCAGCCAAAGGAUUCACCCCAUUCGGAAUGAAGAGGCUGCAGCGGAAGGAGCACUUUUUGGUGAGGGCGGCUUUGCUUUCAAAUCGGGAAGAGUUUCCCUCAAAAUUUUCUGGGUUCUCUCCUCCAACCCAUUCCACUAAGGAGUUACACAAUUCUAACCAAGCCAGAUCCUAAGACCAUAAAUCUAUUUAUUUCCCAAGAAACAAGUGGUCCAAACAUGAAACAAGUGGUCCACCUUUGCCCCAAAACACCAAGGCAUGAAAAUGAGGUUGCAAAGAUCAGGAGGCCCGAGGAAAGACAAAAUGGGAGGCAGCAGCAGGGCCCCCAGCGGUGGAAGGAGUGUCACCCCUUCCCAUUCUGGGCCUCAGUUUCCUCAGGUGAACACAUCUCUAAGGGCCCCCUCCAGCUGACCUUCUGGAUUAGUGACCCCGUCACACGGAGGGGUUGUGGAUCUUGGUGCUGUUCCAAGUCCUUCCAAAGAGGUCAUCUGGGGCUUCCCACAACCAAGCACCUCCUCCAGGCCCCAGUACAUCCCAGCUGCUCUCAGAUACUGCCGGACCCUGGCCCCACUGUCACCAAGGGAGGCCCAAGCCCUUGCUGGGGUAUGUAGGCCUCCCUGUCACCACAGGGAAGAAGAGCGUCUCCGAGGGACAGACCGACAAAGGCGUCUUCCUGUCCCAGUGAUUUGUGGUUGCAGGAGGUAUUGAACGAGUGACAGCUGAGGGGCUGGGAGGAGGUGGGUAUGGGGGAGAGGUGGGCAGGAUGGGAUCAGCAGGAGUCCCUGGCUGGCGCCUGCAAAGGGACCAAGCAUUACGCAAGGGGUGCUGCUGAGAGCAGGCAGCACGCUGAGAAGAUGACCACGUUCCUGCCCUCUCCCAGGCUCCAGCCAGCCCCACCCUGGGUUUUGGCACUGGGAUUGUGGGUUCCAGAGAAACAGCUAGAAGAAAACUCAUGACAUUCUUAAAGUAGAAGCUUCCAGAGGCCAGAAGGCAAGGCCAGGAGACCCUUUAGGCCCUCCAGCCAGAGUCAUUGCCAGGCUCCCAGCCUCACAUUCCCCUUCCACUCCUACCCCAGUGGAAACGUGGCCUCCUCUGACCAGGGCACCUUCCUGGCUAACCCCAGCCAGGCCCCCUGGGGCUGAUGGGUCCACAGCUCCGCCUCCCUUGGGCAGGCUGACCUUGGAGCUUGCCAAGGACCCCUGCAUUCCAGGCCCUGUUCUUGCCACCAGCCCUCUGAGGGAAGGAGGGGCAGCUCUUCCGCUUCUUCUUUUGCAGUUGAGGAGAAGGUUCUAGAUCUCAUUCCAGCCCUGCUCUGCCACCAACACGCUGUGUGACAAGGGGCAGGCCUCUCUGGGCUCUCGGCCCCCACUAACUGUAAGUGGGAAGCUCAGGGCUCCCAGAGCAGAACUCUGCAGCCAGGGCCAAGGAGGCCAGGCCCGAGGGAUUCAAGAACCCACGAGGCGCAGACACUCCUCUGGUGGAGCGAAUGAUUGAGUGAUGACCCCUGCCUGUGUGGAGCGAAUGAUUGAGUGAUGACCUCUGCCUGUGUGGAGCAAAUGAUUCAGUGAUGACCCCUGCCUGUGUGGGGAGGGGUGGCGGGUCCCUGGCUGCUACCCACAGGCAGGCAGGGCACUCAGGCCUCUGAUGUCAGCAGUGGGUCGCUGCAGCACCCUCUCCUCUGCCCACCAGGUAGAGACUGCACACACUAGGAAGCAGCCCUGGCUAGUGAAAAACGCAAAUGCUUUCACCAAUUAGGCUGGUAGGAGAAGCAUUUCCUAGCAGGAGCCUCACUGGCCCAUCCCGGUGAUAAAUGGGCAGCACCUGUUAUUGGGAAAUCCAUCUCCUGGUGUGGGACUGCUGCCUCUCUGGAGUGCUCCUCUGUGCUGGGCUCUGGGCUCCUCACCAGGGAGUGUGUGGCAGGCUGUGCCCAGGAGGCUGGUGUGAGCUCUCUGCCACCCCCAGCCUCACAUUGGUCAUCCAGGGAGCCUCUGCCCACCUGUGCCCACCUGUGUGCCCAGCAGAAGGUCUGCAGGUUAAAGUAUCACUCUGUGAUAUCGCUGAGGCCUGUGCAGGGAGUCUGCUGGCUUUUCUGGAGAGAGGUUAAGAAUAUCUCACUGAGAAUGGAGUUAGCAAUGGGCCGUCUGCCACUCCUGGCCUGGAGGGCCUGGCUCUGCUCUGUGGCCUUGAUGUAAGUCUCUGGCCUUCUCUGUGCCUUGCUCUCUUCUUUCAUGGCAUGGUGAGUUGGAUGAGAUAAGCUCUAAGUUCCUCUCCUUUUUAGGUAUGGUUUUACCCACCACCAGGCCCAGAGUGGGCUGACAGAGGGAGGGAACUGUGGCUUGGUCCCCAGUCCCUUACAGUCCACUCCUGUGGCUCCAGGGGCUACAAAUCCAGAGCCAGUAGUCACUGUCCUACCAAAGUCCUCUCCGUAAUCAAAGAGCCAUCUUUCCUUGCCUGCUGGCUUCCCAUCUCCCCUUGAAUAUGACCAACUGCCUUAGCAGGGCACUCAGGAACAGUUCAACCUGCCCUGCUACUGCUCUGGCCCAUCCCUGGCCAUCACCUGCCUCCAGUAACCACUCAAUGGUUAUGGACAAGCCAUUGGCCUUCAUACCAGGUGCUUUUGCUCACGCAGCUCCCCCAGGCCAGAAGCCCUUCUUCCACCUCCAUGGGCAAAACUCUCCCACCCCUGAUGGCCAGCUCAAGCAUCAGCUGUUCAUGGUGUCUGACAAUGCCCCCAUCCAAAUGCCCCCACCUCUGACAGAGCAGAAAUGAGUGGAUCCCAGCCCAGGGCCAGCCAGGGCCCACAACACCAAAGGUAGGACGUUAGCAAGCUCGAGUCUCCAUGGGGUGCUUAUUUUGCUGCUGUAUUUUGGCAGACCGACCCAGGCAGUGCCUACGGGAAGCCCCUUCCAGGCUGUGCCCACCCUGGCCGUCAGUGCUGAGAUGAAGAUCUGCGGCCCCACUGGCCAGGGGAGACCUCAGGAGCCAUCCACCAGACCGGACUAGGCUCAGAAGUCAUCCCAGCAGCUCAAGACAGUUUCAUCAUGCUGCCCAGGCGGCCUAGAGCCGUACUACAGCAGGUGAUCCAGAGUCAGGGCCUGGGAACAACCUGUAUGAUUAUAGGUACCCAAAGCCUGGGUUUGUUCAAUUGGUCCAGGCACGACCCAGUCUGAGGCCAAGGCGGGAAGCAGGACCUAGGACGAGGGUGUCCCACUAUACCCAGGAGAGGCUUCCCCCUCACCUGCCAACAGCCCUUUGAGGUAGGGCCUGCCAAGACGCCCCUGUGCAGAAGAGGAAACCAAG
This is a long non-coding RNA of Homo sapiens (human), 9995 nucleotides long. RefSeq lists it as uncharacterized. Lineage: Eukaryota; Metazoa; Chordata; Mammalia; Primates; Hominidae. The record is from RefSeq and is a predicted model, not a curated record. The transcript is spliced from 6 exons.